GCAGUCAUGGCAGAGUGGUUAAGGCGGUGAACUAGAUAUUCAUUGGGGUCUCCCCGCACAGGUUUGAAUCCUGUCGACUGCG
Non-coding RNA from Ixodes scapularis (black-legged tick), 82 nucleotides. The record is from Rfam. NCBI's taxonomy places the organism in Eukaryota, Metazoa, Arthropoda, Arachnida, Ixodida, Ixodidae.